GACGAACGCUGGCGGCGUGCUUAACACAUGCAAGUCGAACGGUAAGGCCCUUCGGGGUACACGAGUGGCGAACGGGUGAGUAACACGUGGGUGAUCUGCCCUGCACUUCGGGAUAAGCCUGGGAAACUGGGUCUAAUACCGGAUAGGACCACUGCCUGCAUGGGUGGUGGUGGAAAGCUUUUGCGGGUUGGGAUGGGCCCGCGGCCUAUCAGCUUGUUGGGGGGGUGAUGGCCUACCAAGGCGACGACGGGUAGCUGGCCUGAGAGGGUGACCGGCCACACUGGGACUGAGAUACGGCCCAGACUCCUACGGGAGGCAGCAGUGGGGAAUAUUGCACAAUGGGCGCAAGCCUGAUGCAGCGACGCCGCGUGAGGGAUGACGGCCUUCGGGUUGUAAACCUCUUUCAGCACCGACGAAGCGCAAGUGACGGUAGGUGCAGAAGAAGGACCGGCCAACUACGUGCCAGCCGCCGCGGUAA
RNAcentral lists this ribosomal RNA (478 nucleotides) under uncultured bacterium. RNAcentral's name for it is "partial 16S ribosomal RNA". It matches the Rfam family "Bacterial small subunit ribosomal RNA", at positions 28 to 523 of the family's 1533-position model. The record is from RNAcentral.